RNAcentral lists this ribosomal RNA (429 nucleotides) under Microvirga ossetica. Its description in RNAcentral is "partial 16S ribosomal RNA". It matches the Rfam family "Bacterial small subunit ribosomal RNA", at positions 355 to 776 of the family's 1533-position model. RNAcentral also lists the same sequence under 1 other name. The record is from RNAcentral. Lineage: Bacteria; Pseudomonadati; Pseudomonadota; Alphaproteobacteria; Hyphomicrobiales; Methylobacteriaceae.
UGGGGAAUUUUGGACAAUGGGCGCAAGCCUGAUCCAGCAAUGCCGCGUGCAGGAAGAAGGCCUUCGGGUUGUAAACUGCUUUUGUACGGAACGAAACGGCUCUGGUUAAUACCUGGGGCUAAUGACGGUACCGUAAGAAUAAGCACCGGCUAACUACGUGCCAGCAGCCGCGGUAAUACGUAGGGUGCAAGCGUUAAUCGGAAUUACUGGGCGUAAAGCGUGCGCAGGCGGUUUUGUAAGACAGACGUGAAAUCCCCGGGCUCAACCUGGGAAUGGCGUUUGUGACUGCAAAGCUGGAGUGCGGCAGAGGGGGAUGGAAUUCCGCGUGUAGCAGUGAAAUGCGUAGAUAUGCGGAGGAACACCGAUGGCGAAGGCAAUCCCCUGGGCCUGCACUGACGCUCAUGCACGAAAGCGUGGGGAGCAAACAGG